Molecule: ribosomal RNA, 95 nt
Filed under: uncultured bacterium
Lineage: Bacteria
Description: partial 16S ribosomal RNA
Rfam family: Bacterial small subunit ribosomal RNA
Source: RNAcentral
ACCGCCCGUCACACCAUGGGAGUGGGGUUCACCAGAAGCAGGUUGCCUAACCGCAAGGAGGGCGCCUACCACGGUGAGCUUACAUGACUGGGGUG